UUUAAUAGAAAUCAUUAUUAAUAAAAUCUGCUCAAUGAUAAAUUAAAUAGCCGCAGUUCAUGCUGUGCUAAGGUAGCAUAAUCACUCGUUUUUUAAUUAAAAACUAGAAUGAAAGAUUUAACAUUUCAACUAUUAUAUUAAAUUUUUUUUUUAAAAUUAUUAUAAAUGUAAAAAAACAUUUAUAUUUAAGAAAGACGAAAAGACCCUAAUGAACUUUACUUUAGUUAAACUGGGGUAGUUUAAUAAUUAUUACUUAAUAUAUACCAUAAACAUAAUUGACCUAAUUAAAUUAAUUUUAUGAUCAAGUUACCAUAGGGAUAACAGCGUAAUAAUUUUUUAUAGAUCUUAUAUAAAAAAACGAUUGCGACCUCGAUGUUGAAUUAAUUAAUCUACCACAUGUAAAAAUGUAAAAAGAUAGUCUGUUCGACUAUUAAACAAUCACAUG
Molecule: ribosomal RNA, 445 nt
Filed under: Sinopoda yanlingensis
Lineage: Eukaryota; Metazoa; Arthropoda; Arachnida; Araneae; Sparassidae
Description: partial large subunit ribosomal RNA
Source: RNAcentral